GACGAACGCUGGCGGCGUGCCUAAUACAUGCAAGUAGAACGCUGAAGCGAGGAGCUUCCUCUUCUUGGAUGAGUUGCGAACGGGUGAGUAACGCGUAGGUAACCUGCCUUGUAGCGGGGGAUAACUAUUGGAAACGAUAGCUAAUACCGCAUAACAAUGGAUGACACAUGUCAUUUAUUUGAAAGGGGCAAUUUCUCCACUACAAGAUGGACCUGCGUUGUAUUAGCUAGUAGGUGAGGUAAUGGCUCACCUAGGCGACGAUACAUAGCCGACCUGAGAGGGUGAUCGGCCACACUGGGACUGAGACACGGCCCAGACUCCUACGGGAGGCAGCAGUAGGGAAUCUUCGGCAAUGGGGGCAACCCUGACCGAGCAACGCCGCGUGAGUGAAGAAGGUUUUCGGAUCGUAAAGCUCUGUUGUAAGUCAAGAACGGGUGUGAGAGUGGAAAGUUCACACUGUGACGGUAGCUUACCAGAAAGGGACGGCUAACUACGUG
Molecule: ribosomal RNA, 497 nt
Filed under: uncultured bacterium
Lineage: Bacteria
Description: partial 16S ribosomal RNA
Rfam family: Bacterial small subunit ribosomal RNA
Source: RNAcentral